AGACAACACGGACAUUCAUAGUGC
This 24-nucleotide non-coding RNA is filed under the name Arabidopsis thaliana (thale cress). The record is from RNAcentral. Lineage: Eukaryota; Viridiplantae; Streptophyta; Magnoliopsida; Brassicales; Brassicaceae.